Podarcis lilfordi (Lilford's wall lizard) is the source of this 77-nucleotide non-coding RNA. The record is from the annotation of a GenBank genome assembly. NCBI's taxonomy places the organism in Eukaryota, Metazoa, Chordata, Lepidosauria, Squamata, Lacertidae.
ACCAAAGGGAAUAGCUCAGUUGGUAGAGCGUGAGACUCUUAAUAUCGGGGUAGUGAGUUUGAGCCCCACGUUGGGUG